GAUGAACGCUAGCUACAGGCUUAACACAUGCAAGUCGAGGGGAAGCGAUAGAGAAAGCUUGCUUUUUCUAGGCGUCGACCGGCGCACGGGUGAGUAACGCGUAUCCAACCUGCCCACCACUUGGGGAUAACCUUGCGAAAGUAAGACUAAUACCCAAUGAUAUCUCAAGAUGACAUCUGAAUGAGAUUAAAGAAUUAUCGGUGAUGGAUGGGGAUGCGUCUGAUUAGCUUGUUGGCGGGGUAACGGCCCACCAAGGCGACGAUCAGUAGGGGUUCUGAGAGGAAGGUCCCCCACAUUGGAACUGAGACACGGUCCAAACUCCUACGGGAGGCAGCAGUGAGGAAUAUUGGUCAAUGGGCGAGAGCCUGAACCAGCCAAGUAGCGUGCAGGAUGACGGCCCUAUGGGUUGUAAACUGCUUUUAUAAGGGAGUAAAGUGAGUCUCGUGAGGCUUUUUGCAUGUACCUUAUGAAUAAGGACCGGCUAAUUCCGUGCCAGCCGCCGCGGUAA
Molecule: ribosomal RNA, 508 nt
Filed under: uncultured bacterium
Lineage: Bacteria
Description: partial 16S ribosomal RNA
Rfam family: Bacterial small subunit ribosomal RNA
Source: RNAcentral